CCCUGUUGUGAUGACGCAAGAGUUGCAACUACGGUAGCUGAGAGGCCAUUCUUUGUGUUCUUUUUUAAAUGUUUCUGAAGCCUGAUGAAAUCGUUAUAAAUGUGUGUUUAAUACUGUAAAAUACCCUCGAUGUUACAGUCACUGACCUUGCCGUCUAGAAUGAAAGACAACAUUCCAACUUGAACCCAUUGAGAGAGCUGUCUCUUUACUGUCGCGUGGUUUUAUACAUCUUGCCGCUGAUUGGGCUGACAUUUCUGACACACCCACCAAACAAGAGAAAACGCUUCUAAAACCUGUUGCAUUCCGUUGCACAUCGUUUCAAGGAAACAUGUCGUUCAACCCGGAAACCGUAGCAAAACGUUGUGCACCGGUGUGAGAUUGAACGUGCCCCUGUAGUUGUUCAGUGAGUUCAGUUCACGAGGUGCAUGUGGUUGCUUGCGUUAAACGUAUAAACUGUUAAAUUAGAUGGCGACUCUGCAUUAAACGUAUUUAUUUAAUUAAUCGGCGAUCGUAUUUCACCAGAGGACUAAGAUAAAACAACUCGAUUUAAAAUAUGAGCAGUUUUAGUGGAUCUGACGUCGAGGGAAAAAGUAUUUCGCUUUUUGUUUGGAGAUGAACGAGACAACACGAGGCACAGCGACAUAAAUAUGACCAACCAGAUCCCAAGUAGACAGGAACAAAUGAAGAUAUAGCGCAUAGAAAGACUUAUUCUUGGUGAUCAACUGCUAUUGACAUUUUUGAAUUGGGACAAUUGUGGAGUGAUUCGGAAGAAAAACGUUUGCAACACAUCCAUUCCAGACUGCUCUGACAGAUAAAACUGACACACUUGAUGAGGACACAGUCAAAGCUUUAAAAGACCGUGUGAUAAAGCAGUCUUCAAUUACUACGGUGUCUGAAUUGCAAGAAGAAAUGACCCUCCACUUAAACAUGUGACAUCUAAACUGUUUUGUGUUUUAGUUCAGCUUUUUAUAGGUUUAUCUUAAGUUGGUUAAAGGCGGAGUGCACUAUUUUUGAAAGCCAAUGUUAACAUUUGAAAUUACCUAAACAAACAUGCCUCUACCCCAAUAGAAUCUGGACCUUCUUUUGAUAGAGCCACCACACACAUACGCAACCCCGGCAAGGAUGUCGGUUAGUAGACACACCCCUUACUGCUGGUUGGCUACAAGUGUGUUUUGGUAGUCGGCCCAAUUUCCUUUUCCAAAGCGUUUUUCAAACAUUGUGCACUCAGUCUUUAAAUUGCACUUAAAACAUUUUUUUUCAGUAACUUUUUAUGCAGAGAAUUACAUUAUGAUUAUUAUAUAAUCAUUGCUUAUGAAUAUUUAGUGAUUGCAUAUUCAUAGUGUACUUUUCAUUAAUACAUUUAAUGUUAAUGUUGUACAAUUUGAUAGAAGUAGCUCUGUAAUUGCAUUUCUCUGAUAUUUGUUUUAUAUGUUUCUCUUUGGUCAAGAGAUUAUGUAUGUCUCUGUGCUUG
Molecule: long non-coding RNA, 1471 nt
Organism: Paramisgurnus dabryanus
Lineage: Eukaryota; Metazoa; Chordata; Actinopteri; Cypriniformes; Cobitidae
Source: RefSeq, a predicted model, not a curated record